This 468-nucleotide ribosomal RNA is filed under the name uncultured bacterium. RNAcentral's name for it is "partial 16S ribosomal RNA". It matches the Rfam family "Bacterial small subunit ribosomal RNA", at positions 28 to 507 of the family's 1533-position model. The record is from RNAcentral.
GACGAACGCUGGCGGCGUGCUUAACACAUGCAAGUCGAACGGAAAGGCCCUGCUUGUGUGGGGUGCUCGAGUGGCGAACGGGGGAGUAACACGUGAGUAACCUGACCUUGAUUUUGGGAUAACUUCAGGAAACGGGGGCUAAUACCGGAUAGGAGACCCUGUUGCAGGGAGGGGGUUGGAAAGUUUCGGCGGGUGGGGAUGGACUCGCGGCUGAUCAGCUUGUUGGUGGGGGAGUGGCUUACCAAGGCUGUGACGGGUAGCCGGCCUUAGAGGGUGACCGGCCACAUUGGUCCUACGAUACGGCCCAGACUCCUACGGGAGGCAGCGGUGGGAAAUAUUGCACAGUGGGCGGAAGCCUGAUGCAGCAACGCCGCGUGCGGGAUGACGGCCUUCGGGUUGUAAACCGCUUUCGCCUGUGACGAAGCGUGAGUGACGGUAAUGGGUAAAGAAGCACCGGCUAACUACGUG